UUUCUGCAAAACUGCUCUCCUCUGGAAAAAAAGAAAAACGCUGAAAGGAAAAAAAACAGAAGCAGGACAAAAUUGCUGGGCCCAAGGUGCACAGGAGAGGGGGCGGCUCACCCAUGGGCCGUGGCCCGGCUCGGUGGAGGGGAUUGGGCCUGCUGGCGCUUGAGGGAAAGCAGCCCAGGCGCGGUGUGGCGGUCAACACGUAUGAGCAGGCGAGCGCUGCUGCCCUCGUCUCUGAAAAGCAGAAACAGCAACGGGGGCGUGAGGUACAGAGCGGCGGACGGCGGACAUGGCUGCCGGCGACGUGGGACUUGGCGACGGCAGGCUUGAUGGCG
This 332-nucleotide ribosomal RNA is filed under the name Triticum aestivum (bread wheat). RNAcentral describes it as "partial small subunit ribosomal RNA". The record is from RNAcentral. Lineage: Eukaryota; Viridiplantae; Streptophyta; Magnoliopsida; Poales; Poaceae.